RNAcentral lists this unclassified non-coding RNA (27 nucleotides) under Mus musculus (house mouse). RNAcentral describes it as "oocyte_clustered_small_RNA7922". The record is from RNAcentral. Lineage: Eukaryota; Metazoa; Chordata; Mammalia; Rodentia; Muridae.
UGCUCAACUAAUCCCAUGUUGGCAGCU